AGGGAAAUCCGAGGCAAAGAAA
This 22-nucleotide small nuclear RNA is filed under the name Arabidopsis thaliana (thale cress). RNAcentral's name for it is "snRNA_06250". The record is from RNAcentral. Lineage: Eukaryota; Viridiplantae; Streptophyta; Magnoliopsida; Brassicales; Brassicaceae.